AGCUAGAAUCAAAAUCAGUAGCAAUUCAAAAUCACUUCAAAAACUCUAAGUGCUCUAGCAAAUUAUACAUGGUUACGCUUGAUUAGGAGGCUUAGACACUAAUCCAGCAAGUCAAAAGUCAAAUUUGCCCUUGAAAGAUGCAUUUUGGGUUAAAUUCGAAACUUGAAAUUUCGUAUAGAAACUUAAGAUUCUAUCAAACUAAAAGUUGUAGAUUUUUACAUUUCUAGCAAUUAUUCCUAUUAGCACUUUGAAUGGUUUGGAGAGUAAGAGGUUCAAAAGCUAGAGUGAAAAUUAGUAGCAAUUCAAAAUCACUUCAAACACUCUAAGUGCUCUAGCAAAUUAUACUUUGUUACGCUUGAUUAGGAGGCUUAGACACUAAUCCAGCAACUAUUCCUAUUAGCACUUUGAAUGGUUUGGAGAGGAAGAGGUUCAAAAGCUAGAAUGAAAAUCAGUAGCAAUUCAAAAUCGCUUCAAAAACUCCAAGUGCUGUAGCAAAUUAUACUUGGUUACGCUUGAUUAGGAGGCUUAGACACUAAUCCAGCAAGUGAAAAGUCAAAUUUGCCCUUAAAAGCUCAAUUUUGGGUUAAAUUCGAAACAUGAAAUUUUGUAUAGAAACUUAAGAUUUUGUCAAACGAAAAGUUUUAGAGUUUUACAUUUCUAGCAACUUUUCUUAUUAGCACUUUGAAUGGUUUGGACAGGAAGAGGUUCAAAAGCUAGAAUCAAAAUCACUAGAAAUUCAAAAUCACUUCAAAAACUCUAAGUGCUCUAGCAAAUUAUACUUGGUUACGCUUGAUUAGGAGGCUUAGACACCAAUCCAACAAGUGAAAAGUCAAAUUUGCCCUUAAAAGCUCAAUUUUGCGUUAAAUUCGAAACAUGAAAUUUUGUAUAGAAACUUAAGAUUUUGUCAACUAAAAGUUGUAGAGUUUGACAUUUAUAGCAACUUUUCUUAUUAGCACUUUAAACGGUUUCGAGAAGAAAAGGUUUUAAAAGCUAGAAUCAAAAUCAGUAGCAAUUCAAAAUCACUUCAAACACUCUAAGUGCUCUAGCAAAUUAUACUUGGUUACGCUUGAUUAGGAGGCUUAGACACUAAUCCAGCAAGUGAAAAGUCAAAUUUGCCCUUGAAAGCUUAAUUUUGGGUUAAAUUCCAAACUUGAAAUUUCGUAUAGAAACUUAAGAUUCUGUCAAACUGAAAGUUGUUGAUUUUUACAUUUCUAGCAACUAUUCCUAUUAGCACUUUGAAUGGUUUGGAGAAUAAGACGUUCAAAAGGUAGAAUGAAAAUCAGUAGCAAUUCAAAAUCUCUUCAAAAACUCUAAGUGCUCUAGCAAAUUAUACUUGGUUAGGCUUGAUUAGGAGGCUUAGACACCAAUCCAACAAGUGAAAAGUCAAAUUUGCCCUUAACAACUCAAUUUUGGGUUAAAUUCGAAACCUGAAAUUUCGUACAGAAACUUAAGAUUCUGUCAAACGAAAGGUUGUAGAGUUUUACAUUUCUAGCAACUUUUUGUCGUAGCACUUUGAAUGGUUUGGAGAAAAAGAGGUCCAAAAGCUAGAAUCAAAAUCAGUAGCAAUUCAAAAUCACUUCAAAAACUCUAAGUGCUCUAGCAAAUUAUACUUGGUUACGCUUGAUUAGGAGGCUUAGACACUAAUCCAGCAAGUCAAAAGUCAAAUUUGCCCUUGAAAGAUGCAUUUUGGGUUAAAUUCGAAACUUGAAAUUUCGUAUAGAAACUUAAGAUUCUAUCAAACUAAAAGUUGUAGAUUUUUACAUUUCUAGCAAUUAUUCCUAUUAGCACUUUGAAUGGUUUGGAGAGUAAGAGGUUCAAAAGCUAGAGUGAAAAUCAGUAGCAAUUCAAAAUCACUUCAAACACUCUAAGUGCUCUAGCAAUUUAUACUUGGUUACGCUUGAUUAGGAGGCUUAGACGCUAAUCCAGCAAGUGAAAAGUCAAAUUUGCCCUGAACAACUAAAUUUUGUGUUAAAUUCGAAACAUGAAAUUUUCUAUAGAAACAUAAGAUUUUGUCAAACUAAAAGUUGUAGAGUUUGACAUUUCUAGAAACUUUUGUUAUUAGCACUUUGAAUGGUUUGGAGAGGAAGAGGUCGAAAAGCUAGAAUCAAAAUCAGUAGCAAUUCAAAAUCACUUCAAAAACUCUAAGUGCUCGAGCAAAUUAUACUUGGUUACACUUGAUUAGGAGGCUGAGACACUAAACCAGCAAGUGAAAAGUCAAAUUUGCCCUUGAAAACUCAAUUUUGGGUUAAAUUCGAAACUUGAAAUUUUGUACAGAAACUUAAGUUUUUGUCAAACGAAAAGUUGUAGAGUUUUACAUUUCUAGCAACUUUUCUAAUUAGGACUUUGGAUGGUUUGGAGAGGAAGAGGUUCAAAAUCUAGAAUCAAAAUCAGUAGCAAUUCAAAAUUACUUCAAACACUCUAAGUGCUCUAGCAAAUUAUACUUGGUUACGCUUGAUUAGGAGGCUUAGACACUAAUCCAGCAACUAUUCCUAUUAGCACUUUGAAUGGUUUGGAGAGGAAGAGGUUCAAAAGCUAGAAUGAAAAUCAGUAGCAAUUCAAAAUCGCUUCAAAAACUCCAAGUGCUGUAGCAAAUUAUACUUGGUUACGCUUGAUUAGGAGGCUUAGACACUAAUCCAGCAAGUGAAAAGUCAAAUUUGCCCUUAAAAGCUCAAUUUUGGGUUAAGUUCGAAACAUGAAAUUUUGUAUAGAAACUUAAGAUUUUGUCAAACGAAAAGUUUUAGAGUUUUACAUUUCUAGCAACUUUUCUUAUUAGCACUUUGAAUGGUUUGGACAGGAAGAGGUUCAAAAGCUAGAAUCAAAAUCACUAGCAAUUCAAAAUCACUUCAAAAACUCUAAGUGCUCUAGCAAAUUAUACUUGGUUACGCUUGAUUAGGAGGCUUAGACACCAAUCCAACAAGUGAAAAGUCAAAUUUGCCCUUAAAAGCUCAAUUUUGCGUUAAAUUCGAAACAUGAAAUUUUGUAUAGAAACUUAAGAUUUUGUCAACUAAAAGUUGUAGAGUUUGACAUUUAUAGCAACUUUUCUUAUUAGCACUUUAAACGGUUUCGCGAAGAAAAGGUUUUAAAAGCUAGAAUCAAAAUCAGUAGCAAUUCAAAAUCACUUCAAACACUCUAAGUGCUCUAGCAAAUUAUACUUGGUUACGCUUGAUUAGGAGGCUUAGACACUAAUCCAGCAAGUGAAAAGUCAAAUUUUCCCUUGAAAGCUCAAUUUUGGGUUAAAUUCGAAACAUGGAAUUUUGUAUAGAAACUGAAGUUUUUGUCAAACGAAAUGUUGUAGAGUUUUACAUUUCUAGCAACUUUUGUUAUUAGCACUUUGAAUGGUUUGGAGAGGAAGAGGUUCAAAAGCUAGAAUCAAAUCAGCAGCAAUUCAAAAUCACUUCAAACACUCUAAGUGCUCUAGCAAUUUAUACUUGGUUACGCUUGAUUAGGAGGCUUAGACACUAAUCCAACAAGUGAAAAGUCAAAUUUGCCCAUAAAAGCUCAAUUUUGCGUUAAAUUCGAAACAUGAAAUUUUGUAUAGAAACUUAAGAUUUUGUCAAACUAAAAGUUGUAGAGUUUGACAUUUAUAGCAACUUUUCUUAUUAGCACUUUGAACGGUUUCGAGAAGAAAAGAUUCAAAAGCUAGAAUCAAAAUAAGUAGCAAUUCAAAAUCACUUCAAACACUCUAAGUGCUCUAGCAAAUUAUACUUGGUUACGCUUGAUUAGGAGGCUUAGACACUAAUCCAGCAAGUGAAAAGUCAGAUUUGCCCUUGAAAGCUCAGUUUUGGGUUAAAUUCGAAACAUGGAAUUUUGUAUAGAAACUAAAGUUUUUGUCAAACGAAAUGUUGUAGAGUUUUACAUUUCUAGCAACUUUUGUUAUUAGCACUUUGAAUGGUUUGGAGAGGAAGAGGUUCAAAAGCUAGAAUCAAAAUCAGCAGCAAUUCAAAAUCACUUCAAACACUCUAAGUGCUCUAGCAAUUUAUACUUGGUUACGCUUGAUUAGGAGGCUUAGACACUAAUCCAACAAGUGAAAAGUCAAAUUUGCCCUUAAAAGCUCAAUUUUGCGUUAAAUUCGAAACAUGAAAUUUUGUAUAGAAACUUAAGAUUUUGUCAAACUAGAAGUUGUAGAGUUUGGCAUUUACAGCAACUUUUCUUAUUAGCACUUUGAACGGUUUCGAGAAGAAAAGAUUCAAAAGCUAGAAUCAAAAUCAGUAGCAAUUCAAAAUCACUUCAAACACUCUAAGUGCUCUAGCAAUUUAUACUUCGUUACACAUGAUUAGGAGGCUUAGACCCUAAUCCAGCAAGUGAAAAGUCAAAUUUGUCCUUGAAAGCUCAAUUUUGGGUUAAAUUCAAAACUUGAAAUUUUGUAUAAAAACCUAAAUUUUUGUCAAACGAAAAGUAGUAGAGUUUUAUAUUUCUAGCAACUUUUCUAAUUAGCACUUUGGAUGGUUUCGAGAGGAAGAGGUUCAAAAGCUAGAAUGAAAAUCAGUAGCAAUUCAAAAUCACUUCAAAAAGUCUAUGUUCUCUAGCAAAUUAUACUUGGUUAUGCUUGAUUUGGAGGCUUAGACACUAAUCCAGCAAGUCAAAAGUCAAAUUUGCCCUUGAAAGCACAAUUUUGGGUUAAAUUCGAAACUUGAAAUUUCGUACAGAAACUUAAGAUUCUGUCAAACGAAAGGUUGUAGAGUUUUACAUUUCUAGCAACUUUUCGUAUUAGCACUUUGAAUGGUUUGGAGAAAAAGAGGUCCAAAAGCUAGAAUCAAAAUCAGUAGCAAUUCAAAAUCACUUCAAAAACUCUAAAUGCUCUAGCAAAUUAUACUUGGUUACGCUUGAUUAGGAGGCUUACGCACUAAUCCAACAAGUGAAAAGUCAAAUUUGCCCUUAACAACUCAAUUUUGGGUUAAAUUCGAAACCUGAAAUUUCGUAUAGAAACUUAAGAUUUUGUCAAACGAAAAGUUGUAGAGUUUUACAUUUCGAGCAACUUUUCUUAUUAGCACUUUAAAUGGUUUGGAGAGGAAGAGGUUCAAAAGCUAGAAUCAAAAUCAGUAGCAAUUCAAAAUCACUUCAAAACCUCUAAGUGCUCUAGCAAAUUAUACUUGGUUACGCUUGAAUAGGAGGCUUAGACAGUAAUCCAACAAGUAAAAAGUCAAGUUUGCCCUUAAAAGCUCAAUUUUGCGUUAAACUCGAAACAUGAAAUUUUGAAUAGAAACUUAAGGUUUUGUCAAACUAAAAGUUGUAGAGUUUGACAUUUAUAGCAACUUUUCUUAUUAGCACUUUGAAUGGUUUCGAGAAGAAAAGGUUCAAAAGCUAGAAUCAAAAUCAGUAGCAAUUCAAAAUCACUUCAAACACUCUAAGUGCUUUAGCAAAUUAUACUUGGUUACGCUUGAUUAGGAGGCUUAGACACUAAUCCAGCAAGUGAAAAGUCAAAUUUGCCCUUGAAAGCUGAUUUUUUGGGUUAAAUUCGAAACUUGAAAUUUCGUAUAGAAACUUAAGAUUCUGUCAAACUGAAAGUUGUAGAUUUUUACAUUUCUAUCAACUAUUCCUAUUAGCACUUUGAAUGGUUUGGAGAGUAAGAGGUUCAAAAGCUAGAAUGAAAAUCAGUAGCAAUUCAAAAUCACUUCAAAAACUCUAAGUCCUCUAGCAAAUUAUACUUGAUUACGCUUGAUUAGGAGGCUUAGACACUAAUCCAACAAGUGAAAAGUCAAAUUUGCCCUUAACAAUUCAAUUUUGGGUUAAAUUCGAAACUUGAAAUUUCGUAUAGAAACUUAGGAUUCUAUCAAAUGAAAGGUUGUAGAGUUUUACAUUUCUAGCAACUUUUCGUAUUAGCACUUUGAAUGGUUUGGAGAACAAGAGGUCCAAAAGCUAGAAUCAAAAUCAGUAGCAAUUCAAAAUCACUUCAAAAACUCUAAGUGCUCUAGCAAAUUAUACUUGGUUACGGUUGAUUAGGAGGCUUAGACACUAAUCCAGUAAGUGAAAAGUCAAAUUUGCCCUCAACAACUCAAUUUUGGGUUAAAUUCGAAACUUGAAAUUUCGUAUAGAAACUUAAGAUUCUGUCAAACUAAAAGUUGUAGAUUUUUACCUUUCCAGCAACUAUUCCUAUUAGCACUUUGAAUGGUUUGGAGAGGAAGAGGUUCAAAAGCUAGAAUGAAAAUCAGUAGCAAUUCAAAAUCGCUUCAAAAAGUCUAAGUGCUCUAGCAAAUUAUACUUGGUUACGCUUGAUUAGGAGGCUUAGACACUAAUCCAGCAAGUGAAAAGUCAAAUUUGCCCUUAAAAGCUCAAUUUUGGGUUAAAUUCAAAACUUGAAAUUUUGUAUAGAAACCUAAAUUUUUGUCAAACUAAAAGUUGUAGAGUUUAAUAUUUCUUGCAACUUUUCUAAUUAGCACUUUGGAUGGUUUCGACAGGAAGAGGUUCAAAAGCUAGAAUGAAAAUCAGUAGCAAUUCAAAAUCACUUCAAAAAGUCUAAGUUCUCUAGCAAAUUAUACUUGAUUAUGCUUGAUUAGGAGGCUUAGACACUAAUCCAGCAAGGCAAAAGUCAAAUUUUCCCUUGAAAGCUCAAUUUUGGGUUAAAUUCGAAACUUGAAAUUUCGUACAGAAACUUAAGAUUCUGUCAAACCGAAAGUUGUAGAUUUUUACAUUUCUAGCAACUAUUCCAAUUAGCACUUUGAAUGGUUUGGAGAGUAAGAGGUUCAAAAGCUAGAAUGAAAAUCAGUAGCAAUUCAAAAUCACUUCAAAAAUUCUAAGUGCUCUAGCAAAUUAUACUUGGUUAUGCUUGAUUAGGAGGCUUAGACACUAAUCCAGCAAGUGAAAUGUCAAAUUUGCCCUUGAAAGCUCAAUUUUGGGUUAAAUUCGAAACUUGAAAUUUCGUAUAGAAACUUAAGAUUCUGUCAAACUGAAAGUUGUUGAUUUUUACAUUUCUAGCAACUAUUCCUAUUAGCACUUUGAAAGGUUUGGAGAAUAAGACGUUCAAAAGCUAGAAUGAAAAUCAGUAGCAAUUCAAAAUCUCUUCAAAAACUCUAAGUGCUCUAGCAAAUUAUACUUGGUUAGGCUUGAUUAGGAGGCUUAAACACCAAUCCAACAAGUGAAAAGUCAAAUUUGCCCUUAACAACUCAAUUUUGGGUUAAAUUCGAAACCUGAAAUUUCGUACAGAAACUUAAGAUUCUGUCAAACGAAAGGUUGUAGAAUUUUACAUUUCUAGCAACUUUUCGUCGUAGCACUUUGAAUGGUUUGGAGAAAAAGAGGUCCAAAAGCUAGAAUCAAAAUCAGUAGCAAUUCAAAAUCACUUCAAAAACUCUAAGUGCUCUAGCAAAUUAUACUUGGUUACGCUUGAUUAGGAGGCUUAGACACUAAUCCAGCAAGUGAAAAGUCAAAUUUGCCCUUAAAAGCUCAAUUUUGGGUUAAAUUCAAAACUUGAAAUUUUGUAUAGAAACCUAAAUUUUUGUCAAACUAAAAGUUGUAGAGUUUAAUAUUUCUUGCAACUUUUCUAAUUAGCACUUUGGAUGGUUUCGACAGGAAGAGGUUCAAAAGCUAGAAUGAAAAUCAGUAGCAAUUCAAAAUCACUUCAAAAAGUCUAAGUUCUCUAGCAAAUUAUACUUGAUUAUGCUUGAUUAGGAGGCUUAGACACUAAUCCAGCAAGGCAAAAGUCAAAUUUUCCCUUGAAAGCUCAAUUUUGGGUUAAAUUCGAAACUUGAAAUUUCGUACAGAAACUUAAGAUUCUGUCAAACCGAAAGUUGUAGAUUUUUACAUUUCUAGCAACUAUUCCAAUUAGCACUUUGAAUGGUUUGGAGAGUAAGAGGUUCAAAAGCUAGAAUGAAAAUCAGUAGCAAUUCAAAAUCACUUCAAAAAUUCUAAGUGCUCUAGCAAAUUAUACUUGGUUAUGCUUGAUUAGGAGGCUUAGACACUAAUCCAGCAAGUGAAAUGUCAAAUUUGCCCUUGAAAGCUCAAUUUUGGGUUAAAUUCGAAACUUGAAAUUUCGUAUAGAAACUUAAGAUUCUGUCAAACUGAAAGUUGUUGAUUUUUACAUUUCUAGCAACUAUUCCUAUUAGCACUUUGAAAGGUUUGGAGAAUAAGACGUUCAAAAGCUAGAAUGAAAAUCAGUAGCAAUUCAAAAUCUCUUCAAAAACUCUAAGUGCUCUAGCAAAUUAUACUUGGUUAGGCUUGAUUAGGAGGCUUAAACACCAAUCCAACAAGUGAAAAGUCAAAUUUGCCCUUAACAACUCAAUUUUGGGUUAAAUUCGAAACCUGAAAUUUCGUACAGAAACUUAAGAUUCUGUCAAACGAAAGGUUGUAGAAUUUUACAUUUCUAGCAACUUUUCGUCGUAGCACUUUGAAUGGUUUGGAGAAAAAGAGGUCCAAAAGCUAGAAUCAAAAUCAGUAGCAAUUCAAAAUCACUUCAAAAACUCUAAGUGCUCUAGCAAAUUAUACUUGGUUACGCUUGAUUAGGAGUCUUAGACACUAAUCCAGCAAGUGAAAAGUCAAAUUUGUCCUUGAAAGCUCAAUUGUGGGUUAAAUUCAAAACUUGAAACCUUGUAUAAAAACCUAAAUUUUUGUCAAACUAAAAGUUGUAGAGUUUUACAUUUCUAGCAACUUUUCUAAUGAGCACUUUGGAUGGUUUCGGGAGGAAGAGUUUCAAAAGCUAGAAUGAAAAUAAGUAGCAAUUCAAAAUCAAUUCAAAAACUCUAAGUUCUCUAGCAAAUUAUACUUGGUUACGCUUGAUUAGGAGGCUUAGACACUAAUCCAACAAAUGAAAAGUCAAAUUUGCCCUUGAAAGCUCAAUUUUGGGUUAAAUUCGAAACUUGGAAUUUUGUAUAGAAACAUAAGUUUUUGUCAAACGAAAAGUUGUAGAGUUUUACAUUUCUAGCAACUUUUCUUAUUAGCACUUUGAAUGGUUUGGAGAGGAAUAGGUCCAAAAGCUAGAAUCAAAAUCAGUAGCAAUUCAAAAUCACAUCAAAAAACUCUAAGUGCUCUAGCAAAUUAUACUUGGUUACGCUUGAUUAGGAGGUUUAAACACUAAUCCAGCAAGUGAAAAGUCAAAUUUGCCCUUGAAAGCUCAAUUUUUGAAUUAAAAAUCAAUUCAAAAACUCUAAGUUCUCUAGCAAAUUAUACUUGGUUAGUCUUGAUUAGGAGGCUUAGACACUAAUCCAGCAAGUCAAAAGUCAAAUUUGCCCUUAAAAGCUCAAUUUUAGGUUAAAUUCAAAACAUGAAAUUUUGUAUAGAAACCUAAGUUUUUGUCAAACUAAAAGUUGUAGAGUUUGACAUUUCUAGCAACUUUUCUUAUUAGCACUUUGAAUGGUUUGGAGGGGAAGAGGUUCACAAGCUAGAAUCAAAAUCAGUAGCAAUUCAAAAUAACUUCAAAAACUCUAAGUGCUGUAGCAAAUUAUACUUGGUUACGCUUUAUUAGGAGGCUUAGACACUAAUCCAGCAAGUGAAAAAUCAAAUUUGUCCUUGAAAGCUCAAUUUUGGGUUAAAUUCAAAACUUGAAACCUUGUAUAAAAACCUAAAUUUUUGUCAAACUAAAAGUGGUAGAGUUUUACAUUUCUAGCAACUUUUCUAAUGAGCACUUUGGAUGGUUUGGAGGGGAAGAGGUUCAAAAGCUAGAAUCAAAAUCAGUAGCAAUUCAAAAUCACUUCAAAAACUCUAAGUGCUCUAGCAAAUUAUACUUGGUUACGCUUGAUUAGGAGGCUUAAACACUAAUCCAGCAAGUGAAAAGUCAAAUUUGCCCUUGAAAGCUCAAUUUUUGAAUUAAAAAUCAAUUCAAAAACUCUAAGUUCUCUAGCAAAUUAUACUUGGUUAGUCUUGAUUAGGAGGCUUAGACACUAAUCCAGCAAGUCAAAAGUCAAAUUUGCCCUUAAAAGCUCAAUUUUAGGUUAAAUUCAAAACUUGAAAUUUUGUAUAGAAACCUAAGUUUUUGUCAAACUAAAAGUUGUAGAGUUUACAUUUUUAGCAACUUUUUUUAUUAGCACUUUGAAUGGUUUGGAGGGGAAGAGGUUCACAAGCUAGAAUCAAAAUCAGUAGCAAUUCAAAAUCACUUAAAAAACUCUAAGUGCUCUAGCAAAUUAUACUUGGUUACGCUUGAUUAGGAGGCUUAGACACUAAUCCUACAAGUGAAAAGUCAAAUGUGCCCUUGAAAGCUCAAUUUUGGGUUAAAUUCGAAACUUGGAAUUUUGUAUAGAAACAUAAGUUUUUGUCAAACGAAAAGUUGUAAAGUUUUACAUUUCUAGCAACUUUUCUUAUUAGCACUUUGAAUGGUUUGGAGAGGAAUAGGUCCAAAAGCUAGAAUCAAAAUCAGUAGCAAUUCAAAAUCACAUCAAAAAACUCUAAGUGCUCUAGCAAAUUAUACUUGGUUACGCUUGAUUAGGAGGUUUAAACACUAAUCCAGCAAGUGAAAAGUCAAAUUUGCCCUUGAAAGCUCAAUUUUUGAAUUAAAAAUCAAUUCAAAAACUCUAAGUUCUCUAGCAAAUUAUACUUGGUUAGUCUUGAUUAGGAGGCUUAGACACUAAUCCAGCAAGUCAAAAGUCAAAUUUGCCCUUAAAAGCUCAAUUUUAGGUUAAAUUCAAAACAUGAAAUUUUGUAUAGAAACCUAAGUUUUUGUCAAACUAAAAGUUGUAGAGUUUUACAUUUCUAGCAACUUUUCUAAUGAGCACUUUGGAUGGUUUCGGGAGGAAGAGUUUCAAAAGCUAGAAUGAAAAUAAGUAGCAAUUCAAAAUCAAUUCAAAAACUCUAAGUUCUCUAGCAAAUUAUACUUGGUUACGCUUGAUUAGGAGGCUUAGACACUAAUCCAACAAAUGAAAAGUCAAAUUUGCCCUUGAAAGCUCAAUUUUGGGUUAAAUUCGAAACUUGGAAUUUUGUAUAGAAACAUAAGUUUUUGUCAAACGAAAAGUUGUAGAGUUUUACAUUUCUAGCAACUUUUCUUAUUAGCACUUUGAAUGGUUUGGAGAGGAAUAGGUCCAAAAGCUAGAAUCAAAAUCAGUAGCAAUUCAAAAUCACAUCAAAAAACUCUAAGUGCUCUAGCAAAUUAUACUUGGUUACGCUUGAUUAGGAGGUUUAAACACUAAUCCAGCAAGUGAAAAGUCAAAUUUGCCCUUGAAAGCUCAAUUUUUGAAUUAAAAAUCAAUUCAAAAACUCUAAGUUCUCUAGCAAAUUAUACUUGGUUAGUCUUGAUUAGGAGGCUUAGACACUAAUCCAGCAAGUCAAAAGUCAAAUUUGCCCUUAAAAGCUCAAUUUUAGGUUAAAUUCAAAACAUGAAAUUUUGUAUAGAAACCUAAGUUUUUGUCAAACUAAAAGUUGUAGAGUUUUACAUUUCUAGCAACUUUUCUUAUUAGCACUUUGAAUGGUUUGGAGGGGAAGAGGUUCACAAGCUAGAAUCAAAAUCAGUAGCAAUUCAAAAUAACUUCAAAAACUCUAAGUGCUGUAGCAAAUUAUACUUGGUUACGCUUUAUUAGGAGGCUUAGACACUAAUCCAGCAAGUGAAAAAUCAAAUUUGUCCUUGAAAGCUCAAUUUUGGGUUAAAUUCAAAACUUGAAACCUUGUAUAAAAACCUAAAUUUUUGUCAAACUAAAAGUGGUAGAGUUUUACAUUUCUAGCAACUUUUCUAAUGAGCACUUUGGAUGGUUUGGAGGGGAAGAGGUUCAAAAGCUAGAAUCAAAAUCAGUAGCAAUUCAAAAUCACUUCAAAAACUCUAAGUGCUCUAGCAAAUUAUACUUGGUUACGCUUGAUUAGGAGGCUUAAACACUAAUCCAGCAAGUGAAAAGUCAAAUUUGCCCUUGAAAGCUCAAUUUUUGAAUUAAAAAUCAAUUCAAAAACUCUAAGUUCUCUAGCAAAUUAUACUUGGUUAGUCUUGAUUAGGAGGCUUAGACACUAAUCCAGCAAGUCAAAAGUCAAAUUUGCCCUUAAAAGCUCAAUUUUAGGUUAAAUUCAAAACUUGAAAUUUUGUAUAGAAACCUAAGUUUUUGUCAAACUAAAAGUUGUAGAGUUUACAUUUUUAGCAACUUUUUUUAUUAGCACUUUGAAUGGUUUGGAGGGGAAGAGGUUCACAAGCUAGAAUCAAAAUCAGUAGCAAUUCAAAAUCACUUAAAAAACUCUAAGUGCUCUAGCAAAUUAUACUUGGUUACGCUUGAUUAGGAGGCUUAGACACUAAUCCUACAAGUGAAAAGUCAAAUGUGCCCUUGAAAGCUCAAUUUUGGGUUAAAUUCGAAACUUGGAAUUUUGUAUAGAAACAUAAGUUUUUGUCAAACGAAAAGUUGUAAAGUUUUACAUUUCUAGCAACUUUUCUUAUUAGCACUUUGAAUGGUUUGGAGAGGAAUAGGUCCAAAAGCUAGAAUCAAAAUCAGUAGCAAUUCAAAAUCACAUCAAAAAACUCUAAGUGCUCUAGCAAAUUAUACUUGGUUACGCUUGAUUAGGAGGUUUAAACACUAAUCCAGCAAGUGAAAAGUCAAAUUUGCCCUUGAAAGCUCAAUUUUUGAAUUAAAAAUCAAUUCAAAAACUCUAAGUUCUCUAGCAAAUUAUACUUGGUUAGUCUUGAUUAGGAGGCUUAGACACUAAUCCAGCAAGUCAAAAGUCAAAUUUGCCCUUAAAAGCUCAAUUUUAGGUUAAAUUCAAAACAUGAAAUUUUGUAUAGAAACCUAAGUUUUUGUCAAACUAAAAGUUGUAGAGUUUUACAUUUCUAGCAACUUUUCUUAUUAGCACUUUGAAUGGUUUGGAGGGGAAGAGGUUCACAAGCUAGAAUCAAAAUAAGUAGCAAUUCAAAAUCACUUCAAAAACUCUAAGUGCUCUAGCAAAUUAUACUUGGUUACGCUUGAUUAGGAGGCUUAGACACUAAUCCAACAACUGAAAAGUCAAAUUUGCCCUUGAAAGCUCAAUUUUGGGUUAAAUUCGAAACUUGGAAUUUUGUAUAGAAACAUAAGUUUUUGUCAAACGAAAAGUUGUAGAGUUUUACAUUUCUAGCAAGUUUUCUUAUUAGCACUUUGAAUGGUUUGGAGAGGAAUAGGUCCAAAGGCUAGAAUCAAAAUUAGUAGCAAUUCAAAAUCACUUCAAAAACUCUAAGUGCUGUAGCAAAUUAUACUUGGUUACGCUUGAUUAGGAGGCUUAGACACUAAUCCAGCAAGUGAAAAGUCAAAUUUGUCCUUGAAAGCUCAAUUUUGGGUUAAAUUCAAAACUUGAAACCUUGUAUAAAAACCUAAAUUUUUGUCAAACUAAAAGUGGUAGAGUUUUACAUUUCUAGCAACUUUUCUAAUGAGCACUUUGGAUGGUUUGGAGGGGAAGAGGUUCAAAAGCUAGAAUCAAAAUCAGUAGCAAUUCAAAAUCACUUCAAAAACUCUAAGUGCUCUAGCAAAUUAUACUUGGUUACGCUUGAUUAGGAGGCUUAAACACUAAUCCAGCAAGUGAAAAGUCAAAUUUGCCCUUGAAAGAUCAAUUUUUGAAUUAAAAAUCAAUUCAAAAACUCUAAGUUCUCUAGCAAAUUAUACUUGGUUAGUCUUGAUUAGGAGGCUUAGACACUAAUCCAGCAAGUCAAAAGUCAAAUUUGCCCUUAAAAGCUCAAUUUUAGGUUAAAUUCAAAACUUGAAAUUUUGUAUAGAAACCUAAGUUUUUGUCAAACUAAAAGUUGUAGAGUUUACAUUUGUAGCAACUUUUCUUAUUAGCACUUUGAAUGGUUUGGAGGGGAAGAGGUUCACAAGCUAGAAUCAAAAUCAGUAGCAAUUCAAAAUCACUUAAAAAACUCUAAGUGCUCUAGCAAAUUAUACUUGGUUACGCUUGAUUAGGAGGCUUAGACACUAAUCCAACAAGUGAAAAGUCAAAUGUGCCCUUGAAAGCUCAAUUUUGGGUUAAAUUCGAAACUUGGAAUUUUGUAUAGAAACAUAAGUUUUUGUCAAACGAAAAGUUGUAGAGUUUUACAUUUCUAGCAACUUUUCUUAUUAGCACUUUGAAUGGUUUGGAGAGGAAGAGGUCCAAAAGCUAGAAUCAAAAUCAGUAGCAAUUCAAAAUCACUUCAAAAACUCUAAGUGCUCUAGCAAAUUAUACUUGGUUACGCUUGAUUAGGAGUCUUAGACACUAAUCCAGCAAGUGAAAAGUCAAAUUAUUCCUCGAAAGCUCAAUUGUGGGUUAAAUUCAAAACUUGAAACCUUGUAUAAAAACCUAAAUUUUUGUCAAACUAAAAGUUGUAGAGUUUUACAUUUCUAGCAACUUUUCUAAUGAGCACUUUGGAUGGUUUCGAGAGGAAGAGGUUCAAAAGCUAGAAUGAAAAUAAGUAGCAAUUCAAAAUCAAUUCAAAAACUCUAUGUUCUCUAGCAAAUUAUACUUGGUUAGGCUUGAUUAGGAGGCUUAGACACUAAUCCAGCAAGUCAAAAGUCAAAUUUGCCCUUAAAAGCUCAAUUUUAGGUUAAAUUCAAAACAUGAAAUUUUGUAUAGAAACCUAAGUUUUUGUCAAACGAAAAGUUGUAGAGUUUUACAUUUCUAGCAACUUUUCUUAUUAGCACUUUGAAUGGUUUGGAGGGAAGAGGUUCACAAGCUAGAAUCAAAAUCAGUAGCAAUUCAAAAUCACUUCAAAAACUCUAAGUGCUCUAGCAAAGUAUACUUGGUUACGCUUGAUUAGGAGGCUUAGACACUAAUCCAACAAAUGAAAAGUCAAAUUUGCCCUUGAAAGCUCAAUUUUGGGUUAAAUUCGAAACUUGGAAUUUUUUAUAGAAACAUAAGUUUUUGUCAAACGAAAAGUUGUAGAGUUUUACAUUUCUAGCAACUUUUCUUAUUAGCACUUUGAAUGGUUUGGAGAGGAAUAGGUCCAAAAGCUAGAAUCAAAAUCAGUAGCAAUUCAAAAUCACUUCAAAACUAAGUGCUCUAGCAAAUUAUACUUGGUUACGCUUGAUUAGGAGGCUUAGACACUAAUCCAGCAAGUGAAAAGUCAAAUUUGUCCUUGAAAGCUCAAUUUUGGGUUAAAUUCAAAACUUGAAACCUUGUAUAAAAACCUAAAUUUUUGUCAAACUAAAAGUUGUAGAGUUUUACAUUUCUAGCAACUUUUCUAAUGAGCACUUUGGAUGGUUUGGAGGGGAAGAGGUUCAAAAGCUAGAAUCAAAAUCAGUAGCAAUUCAAAAUCACUUCAAAAACUCUAAGUGCUCUAGCAAAUUAUACUUGGUUACGCUUGAUUAGGAGGCUUAGACACUAAUCCAGCAAGUGAAAAGUCAAAUUUGCCCUUGAAAGCUCAAUUUUUGAAUUAAAAAUCAAUUCAAAAACUCUAAGUUCUCUAGCAAAUUAUACUUGGUUAGUCUUGAUUAGGAGGCUUAGACACUAAUCCAGCAAGUCAAAAGUCAAAUUUGCCCUUAAAAGCUCAAUUUUAGGUUAAAUUCAAAACUUGAAAUUUUGUAUAGAAACCUAAGUUUUUGUCAAACUAAAAGUUGUAGAGUUUACAUUUCUAGCAACUUUUCUAUUUAGCACUUUGAAUGGUUUGGAGGGGAAGAGGUUCACAAGCAAGAAUCAAAAUCAGUAGCAAUUCAAAAUCACUUAAAAAACUCUAAGUGCUCUAGCAAAUUAUACUUGGUUACGCUUGAUUAGGAGGCUUAGACACUAAUCCAACAAGUGAAAAGUCAAAUGUGCCCUUGAAAGCUCAAUUUUGGGUUAAAUUCGAAACUUGGAAUUUUGUAUAGAAACAUAAGUUUUUGUCAAACGAAAAGUUGUAGAGUUUUACAUUUCUAGCAACUUUUCUUAUUAGCACUUUGAAUGGUUUGGAGAGGAAGAGGUCCAAAAGCUAGAAUCAAAAUCAGUAGCAAUUCAAAAUCACUUCAAAAACUCUAAGUGCUCUAGCAAAUUAUACUUGGUUACGCUUGAUUAGGAGUCUUAGACACUAAUCCAGCAAGUGAAAAGUCAAAUUAUUCCUUGAAAGCUCAAUUGUGGGUUAAAUUCAAAACUUGAAACCUUGUAUAAAAACCUAAAUUUUUGUCAAACUAAAAGUUGUAGAGUUUUACAUUUCUAGCAACUUUUCUAAUGAGCACUUUGGAUGGUUUCGAGAGGAAGAGGUUCAAAAGCUAGAAUGAAAAUAAGUAGCAAUUCAAAAUCAAUUCAAAAACUCUAAGUUCUCUAGCAAAUUAUACUUGGUUAGGCUUGAUUAGGAGGCUUAGACACUAAUCCAGCAAGUCAAAAGUCAAAUUUGCCCUUAAAAGCUCAAUUUUAGGUUAAAUUCAAAACAUGAAAUUUUGUAUAGAAACCUAAGUUUUUGUCAAAAGAAAAGUUGUAGAGUUUUACAUUUCUAGCAACUUUUCUUAUUAGCACUUUGAAUGGUUUGGAGGGAAGAGGUUCACAAGCUAGAAUCAAAAUCAGUAGUAAUUCAAAAUCACUUCAAAAACUCUAAGUGCUCUAGCAAAUUAUACUUGGUUAGUCUUGAUUAGGAGGCUUAGACACUAAUCCAACAACUGAAAAGUCAAAUUUGCCCUUGAAAGCUCAAUUUUGGGUUAAAUUCGAAACUUGGAAUUUUGUAUAGAAACAUAAGUUUUUGUCAAACGAAAAGUUGUAGAGUUUUACAUUUCUAGCAACUUUUCUUAUUAGCACUUUGAAUGGUUUGGAGAGGAACAGGUCCAAAAGCUAGAAUCAAAAUCAGUAGCAAUUCAAAAUCACUUCAAAAACUCUAAGUGCUCUAGCAAAUUAUACUUGGUUACGCUUGAUUAGGAGGCUUAGACACUAAUCCAACAAAUGAAAAGUCAAAUUUGCCCUUGAAAGCUCAAUUUUGGGUUAAAUUCGAAACUUGGAAUUUUGUAUAGAAACAUAAGUUUUUGUCAAACGAAAAGUUGUAGAGUUUUACAUUUCUAGCAACUUUUCUUAUUAGCACUUUGAAUGGUUUGGAGAGGAAUAGGUCCAAAAGCUAGAAUCAAAAUCAGUAGCAAUUCAAAAUCACUUCAAAAACUCUAAGUGCUCUAGCAAAUUAUACUUGGUUACGCUUGAUUAGGAGGCUUAGACACUAAUCCAGCAAGUGAAAAGUCAAAUUUGUCCUUGAAAGCUCAAUUUUGGGUUAAAUUCAAAACUUGAAACCUUGUAUAAAAACCUAAAUUUUUGUCAAACUAAAAGUUGUAGAGUUUUACAUUUCUAGCAACUUUUCUAAUGAGCACUUUGGAUGGUUUGGAGGGGAAGAGGUUCAAAAGCUAGAAUCAAAAUCAGUAGCAAUUCAAAAUCACUUCAAAAACUCUAAGUGCUCUAGCAAAUUAUACUUGGUUACGCUUGAUUAGGAGGCUUAGACACUAAUCUAGCAAGUGAAAAGUCAAAUUUGUCCUUGAAAGCUCAAUUUUUGAAUUAAAAAUCAAUUCAAAAACUCUAAGUUCUCUAGCAAAUUAUACUUGGUUAGUCUUGAUUAGGAGGCUUAGACACUAAUCCAGCAAGUCAAAAGUCAAAUUUGCCCUUAAAAGCUCAAUUUUAGGUUAAAUUCAAAACUUGAAAUUUUGUAUAGAAACCUAAGUUUUUGUCAAACUAAAAGUUGUAGAGUUUACAUUUCUAGCAACUUUUCUUAUUAGCACUUUGAAUGGUUUGGAGGGGAAGAGGUUCACAAGCUAGAAUCAAAAUCAGUAGCAAUUCAAAAUCACUUAAAAAACUCUAAGUGCUCUAGCAAAUUAUACUUGGUUACGCUUGAUUAGGAGGCUUAGACACUAAUCCAACAAGUGAAAAGUCAAAUUUGCCCUUGAAAGCUCAAUUUUGGGUUAAAUUCGAAACUUGGAAUUUUGUAUAGAAACAUAAGUUUUUGUCAAACGAAAAGUUGUAGAGUUUUACAUUUCUAGCAACUUUUCUUAUUAGCACUUUGAAUGGUUUGGAGAGGAAGAGGUCCAAAAGCUAGAAUCAAAAUCAGUAGCAAUUCAAAAUCACUUCAAAAACUCUAAGUGCUCUAGCAAAUUAUACUUGGUUACGCUUGAUUAGGAGGCUUAGACACUAAUCCAGCAAGUGAAAAGUCAAAUUUGUCCUUGAAAGCU
Molecule: long non-coding RNA, 17924 nt
Filed under: Setaria viridis
Lineage: Eukaryota; Viridiplantae; Streptophyta; Magnoliopsida; Poales; Poaceae
Description: long non-coding RNA (SVIR_LNC005616)
Source: RNAcentral